Molecule: long non-coding RNA, 1242 nt
Organism: Solanum stenotomum
Lineage: Eukaryota; Viridiplantae; Streptophyta; Magnoliopsida; Solanales; Solanaceae
Exons: 6
Source: RefSeq, a predicted model, not a curated record
AGUACAUAGUUAACAGAACUUGACCGAAAAUAAGUGAAAGCAGAAAGCCUUAGAGGGUAUUCAUACCAUUGUGUUCAAGCUAGGAGCAAAGUAUCGUGGCAUGUGCUUACUCCUUAUGUAUCCACUUCUUGUGGCAUGUAAGUCAAUUAGCAAAUUGCGCAGAGCUGCAGAUCAAGAGGUGGUUGAUAAAGUUAGGCAGCAUAGUGGCGUACUCGUUGAUCAGAAAUCGUGUUGACAGAUUAUGACGUGUCAAUUUUGCUGCUGCUAAACAAUGCCAACAGCUGCAUGAAAUGGUUCUAAAUCCUCCUAUAAAAGUUGGUGGACUUUUACCUCUUGAAUUACUUUGUACAAUACAGAGUUUGUUUUAUGAUGAUUUGGCUUCACGUGUUGUGGUGCUUUUACUUUCACUUAUGGGUGCACCAGUCCAAUCUUGCAAGCCGAAGUGGGUUUAGACCCUCUUGUUUUGUCCUCGUUAUCCAGAUGAAAGAGUCCUUCAAGAGUUGUGAAUAACAAUUAUGAUAACAAGGAUUUGGAACCUAAACUAAAGAAAAGCUUUGCGGAUACUAGACAAUCUUACAUACAACAUUUAGAUAUAGAUAAUUUAUAAUUUUCUUUUCUGCUGUGUGUAAUUAUUGUGAACAUGCUCCCUUGUAGACUUCACAGAGAGAGAGAGAGAGUUAAACGUGAUUCUGGAGGCUGGGGCAACUACUGUUGGUCUUGGACCACAUUGUCUACAAAUUGAAACUGCUACAGUGGCUCUUUUGUCAGCAUUAAUGUUUUGGUGUGACGACCAGGAGUUAUUCAAGUUCUAGCAAAGCUUGCAGGUUGUGUUCACAUGCUGAGGGGUCCCAAGAAAGCUGCAAGUUAGCACUAUUACAGGAAUUCAGAAGUGAAGGAUCAAAAGGAAAGGAUAAUUUGCUUUGUUGUGUCGGGCCUCAUCCUCACUCCAUUUAAGGAAGCUUACUUUUCUUUGUAAUCUCAAGUGAAUCUGGUGGACGGUUUUGAAAAGUCAAAUUGCUACCUGAGUGGUGAGUGAUAUAAGAUCAGUUAUACAUAUAAGUUGUCUGAUCAAAUCUUUUUUGUUGUGUUUAUUUGUUCAUAUAUAAUUCUUGCUAUUUAUAAGUAGGACAAUUAGUGGCUAAACAGUUAUAAGUGUGGGACGACCAGUGGCAAAACAAAUAAGUGUGGAAGGCCAUAUGUCGAAACCUUUUUUUUAAAACGGCUAUCUAAGUCGUUAGUAAA